UACGAAGGGGGCUAGCGUUGCUCGGAAUCACUGGGCGUAAAGCGCACGUAGGCGGAUGUGUCAGUCAGGGGUGAAAGCCCGCGGCUCAACCGCGGAACUGCCUCUGAUACUGCGAGCCUUGAGUCCUGGAGGGGCUGGCGGAAUUCGUGGUGUAGCGGUGAAAUGCGUAGAUAUCACGAGGAACACCGGAGGUGUAGACGGCCAGCUGGACAGGUACUGACGCUGAGGCACGAAAGCGUGGGGAGCGAACAGG
Molecule: ribosomal RNA, 253 nt
Filed under: uncultured bacterium
Lineage: Bacteria
Description: partial 16S ribosomal RNA
Rfam family: Bacterial small subunit ribosomal RNA
Source: RNAcentral